RNAcentral lists this long non-coding RNA (220 nucleotides) under Nicotiana benthamiana. RNAcentral describes it as "long non-coding RNA (NBEN_LNC000600)". The record is from RNAcentral. Lineage: Eukaryota; Viridiplantae; Streptophyta; Magnoliopsida; Solanales; Solanaceae.
UGCUAUACGUCAAAAAUUACAGACCAUCUAAGGAAAAUGUUGUUCGUUGAGAAAUUGGAAGAACCCAUCUGAGUAACUAAUUUCAAAACAUGCCAAAAAGCCACAACCGUGCCGGUUUGAAUAAUGCAGAUGUAACUUGAUUCAAGUUACUUCCUUGCCCUGCUAAGCCUCUGAAGGUGAUAAUUGAUGCUACCCCAUGGCUUUCUGUUUUUGCCACUCU